This 24-nucleotide non-coding RNA is filed under the name Arabidopsis thaliana (thale cress). The record is from RNAcentral. Lineage: Eukaryota; Viridiplantae; Streptophyta; Magnoliopsida; Brassicales; Brassicaceae.
UUGUAUAGCUUUAAUAAACUCUCC